ACAAAUCAAUAAGGAAAAGGCAAACCACCCAGAAGAUAGAUGAGCAAGGAAUAUAGACAGGCACUUCGUAAAGGGAAACAUACAAGCAGCAGCUGGAAGCCUCUAGAAAGAGCAGCAGAAGGACCCAGUAAGCUUGAGAGUGAUCACCUGGAGUGACCUCCAGGGGACCUCCCACCUCACGAGUGAUCAUAGCAUGACAAAUUAAAGCAGGAGAUAGCAUUUUGUUGUGAUCUGGGUGAAAAAUGCAAACGACGUGUAAUUCUUUGUCCACAGUGUAGAGAAGGGGCAGGCAUUCACUGUUGGUAGUAAUGUUGGCAUGUUUUUGGAGGGUAGUGAGGCAGUAUUGAUUAAAAUGGUAAAUGCCUAUGCCAUUUGACCAAACAAUUCCACUUUUAGGAAUCUAUUCUACAGAGUUAUUUCCAUGAGUAUAUAAGGCUGUAGCUACAAGGAUACACAUGGCACUGUUGUUUGUAACAGCAACAAAUGGGGAACAGCACAAAUGUCCCAUGGGCAUGGGGUUGGCUGGAUACAUCCCAGUAAAUAUGUCCACACAACACAGAACAAUUCUGCUAUUAAACGUGGUAGAGUAGCCCUCUAUUUACUGACAUGGGAAGGUAGUCAUGACUCACUGCUGAGUGAAAAAGGCAUAUAAGAAAACAUCAGGCUGGGUGCGGUGGCUCACGUCUGUAAUCCCAGCACUUUGGGAGGCCGAGGCGGGCAGAUCACAAAGUCAGGAGAUCGAGACCAUCCUGGCUGACACGGUGAAACCCCGUCUCUACUAAAAAUACAAAAAAAAAUUAGCUGGGCAUGGUGGCGGGCGCCUGUAGUCUCAGCUACUUGGGAGGCUGAGGCAGGAGAAUGACAUGAACCUGGGAGGCAGAGCUUGCAGUGAGCCGAGAUCGCACCACUGCACUCCAGCCUGGGUGACAGAGCAAGACUCUGUCUCAAAAAAAAAAAAAGAAAAGAAAACAUCAGGUACGAUCAGUGGUGUUUUAUUAAACUAAAUUUUUAAAUUGUGCUUACAGACAUAAAAUUGUGGAAGAGAGAUCAUCAGAUUAUUUGCAGGAAGACAUCUUAGUGGAAGUUGGACAGUUGGAGAGAGCUGCUUUGGUUGUGUGCCUAUGUGUGAGUGAGUUGGGGAGAAUUACUUUGGUGUGUGGGCCUGUGUGUGAGUGAGUUGUGCAGAGUCGCUUUGGUGUGUGGGCCUGUGUGUGAGUGAGUUGGGAAGAAUUGCUUUGUGUGUCUGUGAGUGAGUGUGUCUGUGUGUGUGUUGUGUUGCUUUUCAGAGUUAUUCAACUCUUAUAAAAAUGUCUUUAUUUUCUAAGAAAGAAAUAGUUGUUAUCACUUUGAAAAUAUGAUCCAUGAUUGUGUUUUAAAACUAUAUAUAUGGCCAUGUUGUAACAUUUUUUAAAAAGACCAUCUGCAGAGCAAGGUGCUUCAGUGAUUAUCUCAGCACGAGGAAAUCACUUCAUUUUUUGUGUGCUUAACUGUACAUUCUCAAUUUUUGCCAUGGAAAUGCAUUAUGUUUGUAAUCAUAAAAGAACACACUUACUGGGUGAAGAGGAAGGACCCUGACACAUGUACUAAGAAGACAGCAUGGGCCCACGCAUCUGACCACGUGACUGGUGUCACGUGCUUGACCAGCUGUUUAUCAGCUUCGCCUCUCCACUUGCAGGGCAGCUGAGCACAAAUACUCCAGGGGACACAGUGGGCCCAGCACCCCGGCCACAUGUGAUGGAGCCUCCAGGCCUGCCCAGCACCUACUGCCCUGGGACAGGCUCUCUUUCAAGUCAGCUCCUCUGUCCAGGAAGCAUCUGAGAGGCCCUGUGGUCCUGGCCAAGGAGGCAGGCCGUAAGGAGGGCAGGCCCGAGGACGUAGGUGUGGCAACACUCCGUGUGGAGUAGUCUCUGAGGCCAGACCUGCGGUUCCUGUUUCCUGUGCCCUGGGGACCCAGAGAAAGAAGACGGAUGGGCGCUGCAGUGGGGCGGAGCAGGCCUGAGCCCAGCUCGAGGAAAGCUUGCCUUCUCGUCUAGUGUCCCCGUGUUUUACAUAAUUAGGUAAUGACGCCGCCUCGCAGCUCCUCCAGAAGGUAAAGACGGGAUUACGGGACACCUGGCACACAGCCUGGCGGAUGGCACUCACUGCUGUUUUCCUCCGUGACAGAGAACCGCAGAACUUCCUUCACAGUUGGCGAGCUAUUCAGAAAUGAUACCCGAGUCCGAGGCUCGGCCUUCACUCGCUCCAAGCUCCGGUGGCACCUGCAGCCACCUGUAGGGUGUGCCUUUUCCUCUAGUAUUAUUGGAAAUAAGAUAGACAAUCAAGUGUUCACUUCCUAAGGAUGUAUGGAGCUGUCGGCAAAUCAUUAAUCUCUCUUUAAACCACGGUGACAAUAUUUACAUUUAAGAUCAAGAUGAUGAUUAUCUGAAGAACUCCCCUGGAAGCUCUUCUCACAACUGGAAAAACACAGCAGCCAGUUAGCAGAGCCACGUCCCAGGCCAAAAUAACUGCCUGACAGUCCACGGGGCCAGGAGUCUACAGGGUGUUGGCGUGGGGAGGCGUGCUUCCCGCAGAGGCUGGAGGGCUGCUGUUGGCAGAGUAGAUGGAGCUGCUCGGGGCACAGCAUUCUGGCCCAACCUUGCAGGAAUGUGGUUCUGACAAACCAGCUGGAGAAAAGCAUUUCUGAAAAGAACUGUUUUAAGUUAUUA
Molecule: long non-coding RNA, 2705 nt
Filed under: Homo sapiens (human)
Lineage: Eukaryota; Metazoa; Chordata; Mammalia; Primates; Hominidae
Description: HSALNT0170087
Source: RNAcentral